Long non-coding RNA from Oreochromis aureus, 337 nucleotides. RefSeq lists it as uncharacterized. NCBI's taxonomy places the organism in Eukaryota, Metazoa, Chordata, Actinopteri, Cichliformes, Cichlidae. The transcript is spliced from 3 exons. The record is from RefSeq and is a predicted model, not a curated record.
GAAGAACAUCCCCCUGGUGUGACUGGUUCAUAUUCCUCUUAAGGCCACUGGGGAUACCGCCAUUGAUUUCCACUUCAAUAACUUGACCCCUGACCUCCAGAAGGGACGUGACAUCCCUCAGCUGACUAUUCACAGCCAGAUGGACUCCCUGUCUGUAAUGAAGUCCGGACCACAAGGAGGGAGGCUGUCAGCCACAGGGAUCACCCAGCUCUGCAAUCUUUGAAAAUUGUGUUAGCGCACACGGAAGUCAAGAUCAGUGCAGAAUACAGAGGUUGGGCUGUAUAACGCAUCAAUCAAUAUUGUCCUAAUUAUGCAGAGCUCAGAUAGCUCUGCUAUU